UUAAAAAGCUCGUAGUUGGAUUUCUGGGAAGGCGCCAAUGCUAGCUUCUUGCUUUCGCAACGGCACCUUUCCAUCCUUCUGUUAGCGCCUCUUGGCAUUCAUUUGCUGGUGGCGGGCUCAGAUAUUUUACCUUGAGAAAAUUAGAGUGUUUCAGGCAGGCUACGCCGGAAUACAUUAGCAUGGAAUAAUGGAAUAGGACUGAGGUCUCUUUGUUGGUUUGAGGGACUCCAGUAAUGAUUAAUAGGGACAGUUGGGGGCAUUAGUAUUUAUUAGUCAGAGGUGGAAUUCUUAUGAUUUGAUAAAGACUAACUUAUGCGAAAGCAUUUGCCAAGGAUGUUUUCAUUAAUCAAGAACGAAAGUUAGGGGAUCAAAGACGAUCAGAUACCGUCCUAGUCUUAACCAUAAACUAUGCCGACUCGGGAUUGGGAGUGAA
RNAcentral lists this ribosomal RNA (433 nucleotides) under uncultured eukaryote. Its description in RNAcentral is "SSU rRNA". It matches the Rfam family "Eukaryotic small subunit ribosomal RNA", at positions 619 to 1063 of the family's 1831-position model. The record is from RNAcentral.